GAUGAACGCCGGCGGCGUGCCUAAUACAUGCAAGUCGAGCGAACAGACGAGGAGCUUGCUCCUUUGACGUUAGCGGCGGACGGGUGAGUAACACGUAGGUAACCUACCUAUAAGACUGGGAUAACUUCGGGAAACCGGAGCUAAUACCGGAUAAUAUUUCGAACCGCAUGGUUCGAUAGUGAAAGAUGGCUUUGCUAUCACUUAUAGAUGGACCUGCGCCGUAUUAGCUAGUUGGUAAGGUAACGGCUUACCAAGGCAACGAUACGUAGCCGACCUGAGAGGGUGAUCGGCCACACUGGAACUGAGACACGGUCCAGACUCCUACGGGAGGCAGCAGUAGGGAAUCUUCCGCAAUGGGCGAAAGCCUGACGGAGCAACGCCGCGUAAGUGAUGAAGGUCUUCGGAUCGUAAAACUCUGUUAUUAGGGAAGAACAAACGUGUAAGUAACUGUGCACGUCUUGACGGUACCUAAUCAGAAAGCCACGGCUAACUACGUG
Molecule: ribosomal RNA, 497 nt
Filed under: uncultured bacterium
Lineage: Bacteria
Description: partial 16S ribosomal RNA
Rfam family: Bacterial small subunit ribosomal RNA
Source: RNAcentral